CUUUGUUCUGUUAUUUACUUCAGUUGUGUGAAGAGUCCACAAGACACACAUGGCAGGCCCUGCCUGCUAUAAUUGGUCAGAAACUUCUAUAAUGUCUUUCAUUCAUCUGAGAGAAGUUGUGUGACAGCUGGGCUUUGGACAAAUCUUGGAGACCAACAUGGUCCUUACAGGACCAUUUAACCACCCUGGACAGCUUAGGAGGCAAAUUCUCAAGAUACAUCUCUGCAUCGCAAUCCAGCAUAGCUACCUCUGCCGUCCCCAAGCUGUUCCAGAUGGCUGGAGGACCACCCCAAAAAACAAACAGCCCCAUAUAUUGAAUGUUGCAGCAGUAGAGCCUUAGAAGAUCUGAUUCACUACCACAUGUGACAACUGUCGAAGUUCAACUACCAGAAUUAUCUUUCUCUGACCAACCUCUCAGGAAGAACUGUUUUUUCAAUCAUUUGCUGUUGUGACCACACUAAUUAUCACGGCUGAAAGCACAUAGUAAGAGACCAUCCUUCCCCAAAGUGAAACUGGACAUCUUACCAAAAUAUUGACAGCCAAGAAACUCAUUUUCCUGCAAUUGUGCUUAUGACUGACCUGGUAGUAAAAGCACAUGUAACUCUAGGUGUGGUGCUGCAAAUCACCAUUGAGCAAGGAAAUUGUAACCAACAGAAUGACUAAGCUGACAUGAAUGUGGUCCUGGUCCUGGUGACAUCCCUUCAGAAUAAUUGCCACAGGGUGAGGAGAAAGCAGGAAAAUCAUCCUCUAAAUUACAUGAACAGAAGACCAAUACCAUUCAGGAAACCCAGCUGGGAAAGCAAUAUUUAAAUGAACUGAAUGAGCCAUGCAAGGAGAAAAGUGAAGCACAGGAUGAGGAAUCUGAUCCAGACUGGUUGGGUGCAGACAUGGGAACACACCGCAGAUCAUCAGCAUACAAUGAGAGGAUGUGCUUGGUAGCACACCUUGGCCCUGAUCCUGCCUGUCCAGAUGAGGAUCCAGGCCAGCUGUACCGAGAUUCCUUCCCAGCUCAGGAAUUUGGAUUUCCUCCCUGAGGAAAGCAAAGCAUAAGGGAUGAUAAUCUACUCUCUGCAUCUCAACUCCACAUGGUAUCUGGGACCAGAUAAGGGAGUACAAGAUCAGAACUCAGAAGCACUUAUGAGUUGAUCAGCAUAGAUACAGACCAUGUAAGCUGCAACCACGGGAGUGGCAUAUUCCCAGCUUGUUCAGUCUAAACUGAUGUUUAGCUUAGAUUAAGAAAGAAGCCAUAAAAUAUAAUAACAACAAGUUCAAAUUCACCAGGAUGACAAAUAAAGAGAAAACAGAGUGAAAGAGUUGACAUGUGAAAGCAUCGAUAGCAAAAUAUCUGCUGUCCCUGAAGAGACAGAAGGAAUCUCCAGUUCUUGGGUACUGUCUGAAGCAUUUUUGCUUAUGAAGAACAUAAAUAAAUUAAAUCCUAAAUGUGACUAACAUUCUUUAGCAAAGCAGAGGAAGAUGUUAAUUGUGAGAAGAAACACGCCUUUCCUUCAGGCUGGGUUUUCAGGUCCAUUUGCAUAACCAUCAUUCACCAGCUUGCACCCCUAAACUCUCUUAACAUAUUUUUGUAUCUAGAUAAGAUUUCAGUAGGACAAGCUAGCCCACAGCAUUACAGUACCUUGUCAGGGCUAAGCAUUGUAUGGAAAUUGUAUGUCUGUUGCAGUUCCAGAGCUGGCUGUGUCAGUACAAUCUGUAUUGUGUGUGCUGGGGAAGAUGAAUGAUCUGGUGCAAUAAAGUUGUUUUAGCACCACCAGAGUUUUACCCUGUGAGAGCAUGUGGAGGUGUAAGAAAAAUGCAUUAAAUUGGACAGCUCCACCAGGUAUUUGUUUAACACAUUGUCGUUAUCUCAUUUGUUUUGAAAGAAAUCUGUACUGAUGUCAAAAAACCCUUUGGGACUAAUAGCUGGGUAGCAAUUUAUCUGCAGGACACUCACAGUGUGUCAGGCUGUCUUUGCCUGCAAACAAAUGACAUCUUAUAGUUGCCCUGCCAUUUGGAUAAUGUCAGCGUCCAUAUGGACUGUACCAGCUUUGCCA
This is a long non-coding RNA of Dromaius novaehollandiae (emu), 2048 nucleotides long. RefSeq lists it as uncharacterized. The transcript is spliced from 4 exons. The record is from RefSeq and is a predicted model, not a curated record. NCBI's taxonomy places the organism in Eukaryota, Metazoa, Chordata, Aves, Casuariiformes, Dromaiidae.